RNAcentral lists this ribosomal RNA (255 nucleotides) under Dehalococcoidia bacterium. RNAcentral describes it as "partial 23S ribosomal RNA". It matches the Rfam family "Bacterial large subunit ribosomal RNA", at positions 2668 to 2925 of the family's 2925-position model. The record is from RNAcentral. Lineage: Bacteria; Bacillati; Chloroflexota; Dehalococcoidia.
GGAGUCAACUUUAGUACGAGAGGACUAGGUUGGACCAACCCCUGGUGAUCCUGUUGCACCGCCCGGUGCACCGCAGGGUAGCUACGUUGGGCAGGGAUAACCGCUGAAAGCAUCUAAGCGGGAAGCCCCCCUCAAGAUGAGGCUUGCUUGUCAUUCGACGUGAGACCCCUGGAAGACGACCAGGUUGAUAGGCCGCAGGUGUAAGGGUUGAGAGGCCCUGAGCUGAGCGGUACUAACGGUCGAACGCUUGAUCAC